GGAAGUGAAAGGUAAAGUUGC
This 21-nucleotide non-coding RNA is filed under the name Arabidopsis thaliana (thale cress). The record is from RNAcentral. Lineage: Eukaryota; Viridiplantae; Streptophyta; Magnoliopsida; Brassicales; Brassicaceae.